Molecule: long non-coding RNA, 2761 nt
Filed under: Gossypium barbadense (sea-island cotton)
Lineage: Eukaryota; Viridiplantae; Streptophyta; Magnoliopsida; Malvales; Malvaceae
Description: long non-coding RNA (GBAR_LNC022608)
Source: RNAcentral
UAAAAACAGCGGUGGCGGUGAGAUUAAAUACUGUAGCAACACUGUAACGUGAGAUAAAAAGUAAGCUAAACGCACCGCAUCGCACCCAAUCGUCCAUCCAAACUCAGCCCCGUUCUUCUGCCCGUUUUAGAAGGAGUUUUCAUUGAAAAAGUCCUUUUCCUUAAGAGGAAUGAAGAACAGCCUCCUUCUCUCCAGAUUAUUUCACCAUCAGAAAAGCACUUCUUUCCAUAUGAGAAGCUAAAAAUUUCUGCUUUUCUUCAGCUUGAAGUGCUUUUGGCUGAAAAUUGACCAAAUUAACUUGUCCUCUUCUCCCACAAACUUUCUCCUCUGCACUUUCACGCCCAGUCUCUCCUCCUUCAUUCCUUCAUUUCUGUUAGAAAAUUUGCCUGAGAUUAUCGAUUUUCCAGUAAUCCCCCACUCUCCUCCUUCUUUCCUUCAUUCCUUCAUUCCUCUCUGUCGAUUAUCGCCGUGGUUUUCUAUGGGUUCGAACUCGUAUUGGAACCUGGACGAACGGAUAUCGCAGCUGACUUGCACUUUAUCGGAGCAGGAGGUACAUAUAUUUUCUUCCCCCAACGUAACAGAUCUGUUUCAAAUUUCUUCAUUUGCGGUUUGAUCUACAGCUUUUGCCACCUGUCCAUUUUUUGUUUAGUAUUUUCUCUGUAUUGGUUUUUGAGACUAGAAAUUAAUAGCCUCAAAAUGUUCUUAGAGGGUAGAAAUGUUCUGAAUUUUUAUUUUUCAUUUGAUGAGUUAAAUAAAAAAGGGAAAAAUCGGGAGAAGAAAGCUUUGUUUUCUUAUUGUUUAUCGUCAUAAUUUUGUGUUUUUAGUUUCUUCAAUUCAAAAGUUUUCUCAUUACAGCUAUUGAGUUUCCAGUUCAGUUGUUUUUGGUUCCAAUCUGACUCGUCGAGUCAGACUUUCAUCGACUCGGUUGUGGCUCGGAUCAAUUGUAGAGAGAAGAUCGUUUGCAUAUACUUGUCAUGGUAAUCCAUUGCUUUAGCGGUUUUUAAUUGCGGUUGAGUUGAAUCGGUUGAACAUGGCAUCUUGUUUUCUGAUUCUUUACUUUAAUUUUAUUUGUUAGAUAUUUAUAGCUUUGGCAAGCUUAAAUUUUAUAGGAAAUUCUUUAAUGGAUUCGAUGUGAUCUGUUUUUUGUUUCAUCUUGUUUUUUUUAUUAUUUAAAUUUAUAUGAAAAGCAUUCAAGUAUAUCAGCUUUAGUUUUUGCUUUAGUUUUUUUCGUGCGCACUUGACCAUGGGAUGGUUGAGUGCCCUAUUAGAGAAGGCCGAUGGAUAGACCCAAUAUCUAUCAGUACUCGCGAUCUGGGGAGUACCUAGGCAACUUAUAAGGUCUCUACAUUGAGGGAAAACCUGCUCUAAGUGAAAAAAAGGGAAGUUAACUUUUUCAUAACCUCUGUUUUAUUUUCCUUGGGCAUUGGAACAAUCACAAGUGCAGGAAAUAACUGGUCAUAUUUUGUGUGGAUAAUAUAUAGAGCGGAGUGAUCUAGAACCUAGCUUUGACAGCAAAUUAUACCUUAAUUAGAUAGAGGUAGUUCACCUCAAGUAUAGGUAGAAUGAGGGUGAUGAGCUCCUUGGUUUGACCAUGGUGCCCGAUGCUUCUGAUGGGAUGAUGCACGAUCACUAUCUUCCACUUAUCAACUGAUUCCCUCAGUGCGCAUCUCAAUUUCUCAAACUAGUAGACACGAUACUUUUACAUUAAUCCUGAAAAUGUAUGAUAAAUGAUCUUGUGUGCUAGAGUAAUUGAUGGCUUUACAUGCUGUUCUAAAGAUCAGCUGGUGUUUCUUGGCACAUGUUAUGAGUGAUUAUAUGCUUUGUAAAUGAUCAAUCAUCUUUAACAAUAGUUGGAAAUCCGCAAUAGUACAUUGUUACAGCUAGUUUUGCUUUAUGGUUAUAUUUUAUCACAGUAAAAGAUAAACUGCAGCCAGAGUUUUAUCAAGUCUUUCCAAAGCAGAGAGGUUUUCACACUUGCAGUUUCUGACUGUAUUUAGGAUUGGAUUUCUUUUCAUAUGGCAGAUGUAUGGUCUUGUGGAGUGACUCUUUGCGUUAUGUUGGUAUGUGCAUGUUUGUACGUGUGUUUUCUUGUUUUUAUUUUGUGCUUCUUUUUUCUUUUUUUCUUAUCUUGUGCUGAAGCAUGAUCUUGUAAACUGUCUAUUCCUUUGGAGUUGUGUUUGGUCAUAAUCCAUAAAGAAACUUUCUUGCUAAAUGAGGAAAAAGUAUGAAGCAGGGUAUUUUUAUUUCGCUGCAUAUGAAGUGGAAUUGCCUUUCUAGGGGUGGCUGUUUGUAUACAUGUCAUAUGGGGGUUAAGGAUGCCAUAGUGAGGCGACACUACUAUGCUGGCGAGUAAGAUGAGAGCCACUGGCUGAAAAUAUCUUAUUUCCUUCGGAUGCUCAACACAUAUGACAUCCUGCAAAAUUGUUUCUUGCCAAUGAUUUAUUUUAUGUUCUUAUGAACAAAGUUCGACUAUGAUAUUUGAUGUAGUUUUAUGUCAUUAUCAUGAAAUUUAGGUAGAACCUAAGAACUAUUUCUUUGUUUAUGAGUCUACUUUGUUAGUGGCUUAUUGGCAAUGAUCUUUUCUGGAUGUGUAUUAUUCAACCAUCUAUUUAUACACUUUCUGUACUUUAUUUACAAAAAUUGCAGUAUGUUACUUCUCGGUAGACACUUUAGUUCCAUUCUUGUUCAUCUUAAAACAGUAUGCAAUGUUAAUGAUGUGGACUGUCCACUAAUUUGGCGUAUUGCUUGGUUCCUGAGACCC